This 449-nucleotide ribosomal RNA is filed under the name uncultured bacterium. RNAcentral's name for it is "partial 16S ribosomal RNA". It matches the Rfam family "Bacterial small subunit ribosomal RNA", at positions 29 to 523 of the family's 1533-position model. The record is from RNAcentral.
AACGAACGCUGGCGGCAUGCCUAACACAUGCAAGUCGAACGAGAUCUUCAGGUCUAGUGGCGCACGGGUGCGUAACGCGUGGGAAUCUGCCCUUUGGUUCGGAAUAACAGUUGGAAACGACUGCUAAUACCGGAUGAUGACGAAAGUCCAAAGAUUUAGCGACAGAGGAUGAGCCCGCGUAGGAUUAGCUAGUUGGUGUGGUAAAGGCGCACGAAGGCGACGAUCCUUAGCUGGUCUGAGAGGAUGAUCAGCCACACUGGGACUGAGACACGGCCCAGACUCCUACGGGAGGCAGCAGUGGGGAAUAUUGGACAAUGGGCGAAAGCCUGAUCCAGCAAUGCCGCGUGAGUGAUGAAGGCCUUAGGGUUGUAAAGCUCUUUUACCCGGGAUGAUAAUGACAGUACCGGGAGAAUAAGCUCCGGCUAACUCCGUGCCAGCCGCCGCAGUAA